UCUCCGUAGGUGAACCUGCGGAGGGAUCAUUACAGAGUUCUCGCCCUCACGGGUAGAUCUCCCACCCACUGUUAUCGUUACUGUCGUUUCUUUGGCGGGCCGCCGGGUCCCUGGCCGCCGGCGCCUAGCUGCCGGCGCGCGCCCGCCAGAGGCCUUCAAACUCUGAAUGUUAGUGUCGUCUGAGUACUAUAUAAUAGUUAAAACUUUCAACAACGGAUCUCUUGGUUCUG
RNAcentral lists this unclassified non-coding RNA (230 nucleotides) under plant metagenome. RNAcentral describes it as "partial contains small subunit ribosomal RNA, internal transcribed spacer 1, and 5.8S ribosomal RNA". The record is from RNAcentral.